Molecule: ribosomal RNA, 253 nt
Filed under: uncultured bacterium
Lineage: Bacteria
Description: partial 16S ribosomal RNA
Rfam family: Bacterial small subunit ribosomal RNA
Source: RNAcentral
UACAGAGGGUGCGAGCGUUAAUCGGAAUUACUGGGCGUAAAGCGUGCGUAGACGGUUAUUUAAGUCGGAUGUGAAAGCCCCGGGCUCAACCUGGGAAUUGCAUUCAAGACUGAAUAGCUAGGGUGCGGUAGAGGGAAGCGGAAUUUCCGGUGUAGCGGUGAAAUGCGUAGAUAUCGGAAGGAACAUCAGUGGCGAAAGCGGCUUCCUGGACCAGCACCGACGUUCAGGCACGAAAGCGUGGGGAGCAAACAGG